Molecule: ribosomal RNA, 504 nt
Filed under: uncultured bacterium
Lineage: Bacteria
Description: partial 16S ribosomal RNA
Source: RNAcentral
GGAGUUAGCCGGUGCUUCUUCUGUGAGUGAUGUCCUUCCUGCCGGCUAUUAACCCGCAGGCCUUCUUCCUCACUGAAAGUGCUUUACAACCCGAAGGCCUUCUUCACACACGCGGCAUGGCUGGAUCAGGGUUGCCCCCAUUGUCCAAUAUUCCCCACUGCUGCCUCCCGUAGGAGUCUGGGCCGUGUCUCAGUCCCAGUGUGGCUGAUCAUCCUCUCAGACCAGCUACGGAUCGUCGCCUUGGUGAGCCGUUACCUCACCAACCAGCUAAUCCGACAUAGGCUCAUCCGAUAGCGCGAGGCCCGAAGGUCCCCCGCUUUCCCCCGUAGGGCGUAUGCGGUAUUAGCCUGGGUUUCCCCAGGUUAUCCCCCACUACCGGGCAGAUUCCUAUGCAUUACUCACCCGUCCGCCGCUCGCCACCAGGGAGCAAGCUCCCCGUGCUGCCGCUCGACUUGCAUGUGUUAGGCCUGCCGCCAGCGUUCAUCUGACGCAGAUCAACUCUGA